This 1019-nucleotide ribosomal RNA is filed under the name Rhizonema sp. 'cyanobiont of Corella sp.'. Its description in RNAcentral is "bacterial SSU rRNA". It matches the Rfam family "Bacterial small subunit ribosomal RNA", at positions 28 to 1092 of the family's 1533-position model. Lineage: Bacteria; Bacillati; Cyanobacteriota; Cyanophyceae; Nostocales; Rhizonemataceae. The record is from RNAcentral.
GAUGAACGCUGGCGGUAUGCUUAACACAUGCAAGUCGAACGGUCUCUUCGGAGAUAGUGGCGGACGGGUGAGUAACGCGUGAGAAUCUGGCUCUAGGUUUGGGACAACCACUGGAAACGGUGGCUAAUACCGGAUAUGCCGAAAGGUGAAAGGUUAACUGCCUGGAGAUGAGCUCGCGUCUGAUUAGCUAGUUGGUAGGGUAAAAGCUUACCAAGGCGACGAUCAGUAGCUGGUCUGAGAGGACGAUCAGCCACACUGGGACUGAGACACGGCCCAGACUCCUACGGGAGGCAGCAGUGGGGAAUUUUCCGCAAUGGGCGAAAGCCUGACGGAGCAAUACCGCGUGAGGGAGGAAGGCUCUUGGGUUGUAAACCUCUUUUCUCAGGGAAGAAUAAUGACGGUACUUGAGGAAUAAGCAUCGGCUAACUCCGUGCCAGCAGCCGCGGUAAUACGGAGGAUGCAAGCGUUAUCCGGAAUGAUUGGGCGUAAAGCGUUCGCAGGUGGCAUUGAAAGUCUGCUGUCAAAGAGUCUGGCUUAACCAGAUACAGGCAGUGGAAACUACAAAGCUAGAGUGCGGUAGGGGCAGAGGGAAUUCCUGGUGUAGCGGUGAAAUGCGUAGAGUUCAGGAAGAACACCGGUGGCGAAAGCGCUCUGCUAGGCCGCAACUGACACUGAGGGACGAAAGCUAGGGGAGCGAAUGGGAUUAGAUACCCCAGUAGUCCUAGCCGUAAACGAUGGAUACUAGGCGUUGCUCGUAUCGACCCGAGCAGUGCCGUAGCUAACGCGUUAAGUAUCCCGCCUGGGGAGUACGCACGCAAGUGUGAAACUCAAAGGAAUUGACGGGGGCCCGCACAAGCGGUGGAGUAUGUGGUUUAAUUCGAUGCAACGCGAAGAACCUUACCAAGGCUUGACAUGUCCGGAACUCUGUUGAAAGAUAGAGGUGCCUUCGGGAGCCGGAACACAGGUGGUGCAUGGCUGUCCUCAGCUCGUGUCGUGAGAUGUUGGGUUAAGUCCCGCAA